GACGAAUGCUGGCUGCGUGCUUAACACAUGCAAGUCGAACGGUGAACAGGGGCUUGCCCCUGGGAUCAGUGGCGAACGGGUGAGUAACACGUGGGCAACCUGCCCCUCACUCUGGGAUAACUCCGGGAAACCGGGGCUAAUACCGGAUACGACCAGGCGCGACAUCGGGUCUGGUGGAAAGAACUUCGGUGAGGGAUGGGCCCGCGGCCUAUCAGCUAGUUGGUGAGGUAACGGCUCACCAAGGCGACGACGGGUAGCCGGCCUGAGAGGGCGACCGGCCACACUGGGACUGAGACACGGCCCAGACUCCUACGGGAGGCAGCAGUGGGGAAUAUUGCGCAAUGGGCGAAAGCCUGACGCAGCGACGCAGCGUGA
RNAcentral lists this ribosomal RNA (375 nucleotides) under uncultured bacterium. RNAcentral describes it as "bacterial SSU rRNA". It matches the Rfam family "Bacterial small subunit ribosomal RNA", at positions 28 to 404 of the family's 1533-position model. The record is from RNAcentral.